UACGUAGGGUGCGAGCGUUAAUCGGAAUUACUGGGCGUAAAGCGUGCGCAGGCGGUUGUGCAAGUCAGCUGUGAAAUCCCCGGGCUUAACCUGGGAACUGCAUUUGUGACUGUACAGCUGGAGUGCGGCAGAGGGGGAUGGAAUUCCGCGUGUAGCAGUGAAAUGCGUAGAUAUGCGGAGGAACACCGAUGGCGAAGGCAAUCCCCUGGGCCUGCACUGACGCUCAUGCACGAAAGCGUGGGGAGCAAACAGG
Molecule: ribosomal RNA, 253 nt
Filed under: uncultured bacterium
Lineage: Bacteria
Description: partial 16S ribosomal RNA
Rfam family: Bacterial small subunit ribosomal RNA
Source: RNAcentral